Molecule: long non-coding RNA, 1905 nt
Filed under: Marmota monax (woodchuck)
Lineage: Eukaryota; Metazoa; Chordata; Mammalia; Rodentia; Sciuridae
Source: RNAcentral
CUCAGAGCUCUCGAUAGCCACAUCUUCCCCAAUUUAGCUCAUCAUCUGAUUGCAUAGUUAUUUCUGUUUAUCUUAUCAGAACUUGGCUAUGUGAAAUAAAUCAGUCCUUUACCACCUGCCCCCUAGAAGCUAGAGGGGACCCUCUUCCCAUAGUCACAUUUUUUUUCCAUUUUGAACAUUUCUUUCACAAAUGUGAUGAAAAAAACCUGGACAUUUAGAUAUUACAAGAUAAUUUUCUUUUCCUAAGCAUGCCCACUACCUGUGCCCCCCAAACUGAGGACCAGCUCAGAGCACUGGUGUUUUUCCUGUCUUCAACUCUGAGGAUGGAUGGAAAGAUCAAAGAAGUAAAUAAAGAAGGUUGUGAAGUGCUGUGGGAACAGGUCUUGAAAAUGUAAGAGAAAAGAAGGGACUGGGGAACCAAGAGAUUGAAAAGAGAAUGGGUGAGAGAAAAAAAAGAGACACAGGUUUAAAAUGGAAUUCCUGUGGGGGACCCAGAACUGAAUACAAACCCUUCUCUGGGCAUCUCCUCCAACCACACAGCUUUAUGAGCAUUUUGUUUGGUUUGUUUUAAAUAAGGAAAAGACUAUCCAAGAGAAAGACUAUCUUCCCUUUUCAAUUAAUCCCAAGGGGGCAUUUAUAUAACCCUACAAAGAUCUUUCAUGCUAGAUAUUAACUUAAAGGUGUAUCCUUUGGGAAAAACUAAACACAAAAUUACAGUCUCUGACAAAUCAGUACUGCUAGUUUUAGAAUAUAAUUUCCCCCCAGGAGAUCAAUGAGAUAAGCUGCAGGGAUAAAUUGUAAAGCAGUUCUUUAGAUUGUAUAUUUUUCGAAUACCUCAUUCUUAAAGUAGACAUUAAGUGUUUACUGAAUCAACAUUGUCUUAUGCUGAGAAAAAAGCCUUCACAUAAACUCCUUUAUUGAAUUUCUACAGUUCUCUAAUAUUGUUCCAGUUUCCUUAUGCAAGCAUUGAGAAACAGGUGAGAAAACCCAACCUAGAGAGAUUUCUAACCACCCUCAGUAUAGCCCCUAUGCAUUUAAUUUUAAAAAUGAAUCUUAAAAUUUCCUAUAAUUUUUCUUAGAGAAAAAUAUGAAAAAGGGGGUUUUAAGUAAUUAGAGGACCUCUCACAUUAGUUUCCCAUGACCUAGUGCCUAUUAAAAAAGAAGGAAAAAAGAUAAAAGAUACUUUUUAUAAGCAGACCAAGAUUAUAAUCUUUAGAGUAAGAAACUCACUGGCUCUCUGCCCAGGGAUAAUUCCCCAACUUCAGUGCAGCACGCUAAGACCCAAGCAGAGCAAGUUAGUUCCAAUGAGCUGAGGAGGCAAAGAUCAGAGUUCAGGAUUCUAGAAGCAGCUGAAAUUUCUAAGGAAGGGUAUCAGAAUGGAGGGAUUUGGGCAAAGAGUGGUUGCAGAAAUUGGUAAGUGAGUCUACCGUGAAUUCUUGACACAGGGAAACAUAGCCCAGAGUUUACCAGAGAGUGUCUGCUUCAGGAUUAAGAAUAGAAUAGAGCUGUCAGAAGUUACUGUGUUGGGGGACACUGUGGUCCAAUCCAGAAAGAAAGAGGAGACUUAUUUGGCACCUUUUAACAACCUGGGAAUCUAGCUGAGAUGUCAAGUAUCCUGGGCAUCAUCUAAAACAAAACACCAAGAAAGGUCACACCUUAGAACUCAGGAGCCCACUGCAGAGUAAAAAAUGAUUCAAGUACAAACAAAGCCUAAAGCCAAGUCUGACAAGAUGUGCAAAAGAAAGAGAGUUUUUAGAUCAAGUCCCAAUAAGUUAGAGCAUCAUGAAAAAAAAAAAAAGUUUUCUCAUGCUCUAGUCUAACAAAGCACAAAUAGCCUAAACAAGACCAAGGUGACCAACCAGCAUGAAACCCACCCACUGGAACAGGACUAAACAUACACCAAGG